AAACCAUGGUGAGGGCACAUCCUCACAAGUUCUUCAAAUCAUUCACACGCUUAAAAUUGGGAUUCUGACUCAUACUACUGAAAACAUAAAAUUUUUAUCAUAAGCUU
This is a small nucleolar RNA of Abrus precatorius (Indian licorice), 107 nucleotides long. NCBI's taxonomy places the organism in Eukaryota, Viridiplantae, Streptophyta, Magnoliopsida, Fabales, Fabaceae. The record is from RefSeq and is a predicted model, not a curated record.